UGCUUAACACAUGCAACUCGAACGGUAGGUAUUUUGGUACUGAGAGUGGCGGACGGGUGAGUAACGUGUAGGAAUCUGCCUGUUAGUGGGGGACAACGUGGGGAAACUCACGCUAAUACCGCAUACGCCCUACGGGGGAAAGGAGGGGAUCUUCGGACCUUUCGCUAACAGAUGAGCCUGCGUUGGAUUAGCUAGUUGGUAGGGUAAAGGCCUACCAAGGCGACGAUCCAUAGCUGGUCUGAGAGGAUGACCAGCCACACUGGGACUGAGACACGGUCCAGACUCCUACGGGAGGCAGCAGUGGGGAAUUUUGGACAAUGGGGGCAACCCUGAUCCAGCAACGCCGCGUGAAUGAAGAAGGCCUUAGGGUUGUAAAGAUC
RNAcentral lists this ribosomal RNA (380 nucleotides) under uncultured organism. RNAcentral's name for it is "bacterial SSU rRNA". It matches the Rfam family "Bacterial small subunit ribosomal RNA", at positions 45 to 433 of the family's 1533-position model. The record is from RNAcentral.